GAAACGGAGACUUUUUCCUAAGGAUGAGAAUUUGAAACUAAUUAAAUUCUAAAAAAUGCCUUUUUUCUGUUAUAAAUAAAUUGCCUCUCCAUGUGCUUUUUGAUUUCUGAAAUGUUUUUGCUUUGGUGAUUUUCAAAUUCUUAUAUCCAUUUUUACUUUUCUUUGAUUACAUACCCAAUUUAUCGAUUAUUUUACUGCAUUUUAUUUAGGGCUUAUUUGGUUUUGUUGUUGGUGACAGGUGACUGACAGCUGAUAGUUUUCACUGUAUCUGGUAGCUAAUGAAUGUUAGUCAUUUGGUAAAAUUUUGUUGGUUGCAUUUGAUAUGUUAAAUGACCAUUGAGAGUAUAAUUUAUUUUGGAAUAAUUGUUAUUCUGCUUCCUGAACCAAAAUCCAAUUGUUCGAUUAUGCCCAAAUUGAAGUUUUU
This 424-nucleotide unclassified non-coding RNA is filed under the name Hevea brasiliensis (rubber tree). Lineage: Eukaryota; Viridiplantae; Streptophyta; Magnoliopsida; Malpighiales; Euphorbiaceae. The record is from RNAcentral.